RNAcentral lists this ribosomal RNA (253 nucleotides) under uncultured Oscillospiraceae bacterium. Its description in RNAcentral is "partial 16S ribosomal RNA". It matches the Rfam family "Bacterial small subunit ribosomal RNA", at positions 524 to 776 of the family's 1533-position model. The record is from RNAcentral. Lineage: Bacteria; Bacillati; Bacillota; Clostridia; Eubacteriales; Oscillospiraceae.
UACGUAGGUGGCAAGCGUUAUCCGGAUUUACUGGGUGUAAAGGGCGUGUAGCCGGGUUGACAAGUCAGAUGUGAAAUCCUGCGGCUUAACCGCAGAACUGCAUUUGAAACUGUUGAUCUUGAGUACUGGAGAGGCAGACGGAAUUCCUAGUGUAGCGGUGAAAUGCUUAGAUAUCACGAAGAACUCCGAUUGCGAAGGCAGCUCACUGGACUGCAACUGACACUGAGGCUCGAAAGUGUGGGUAUCAAACAGG